UACGUAGGGUCCGAGCGUUGUCCGGAAUCACUGGGCGUAAAGCGUGCGUAGGCGGUUCGUUAAGUCUGCUGUGAAAGCCCUGGGCUCAACCUGGGAACUGCAGUGGAUACUGGCGGACUAGAGUGUGAUAGAGGAUGGUGGAAUUCCCGGUGUAGCGGUGAAAUGCGCAGAUAUCAGGAGGAACACCAAUUGCGAAGGCAGCUCGCUGGGACGUUACUGACGCUGAGACGCGAAAGCGUGGGGAGCAAACAGG
This 253-nucleotide ribosomal RNA is filed under the name uncultured bacterium. RNAcentral's name for it is "partial 16S ribosomal RNA". It matches the Rfam family "Bacterial small subunit ribosomal RNA", at positions 524 to 776 of the family's 1533-position model. The record is from RNAcentral.